RNAcentral lists this transfer RNA (71 nucleotides) under Loxodonta africana (African savanna elephant). It matches the Rfam family "tRNA". From Rfam's summary of the family: Transfer RNA (tRNA) molecules are approximately 80 nucleotides in length. Lineage: Eukaryota; Metazoa; Chordata; Mammalia; Proboscidea; Elephantidae. The record is from Rfam by way of RNAcentral.
GCAGUGGUAGUUCAGUGGUAGAAUGCCGGCCUUCUGUGUAGGAGACCUGGGCUCUAUUCCCAGGCAAUGCA